GAUGAACGCUAGCUACAGGCUUAACACAUGCAAGUCGAACGGCAGCACAGGGAGCUUGCUCCCGGGUGGCGAGUGGCGCACGGGUGAGUAAUACAUCGGAACGUGUCCUGUUGUGGGGGAUAACUGCUCGAAAGGGUGGCUAAUACCGCAUGAGACCUGAGGGUGAAAGCGGGGGAUCGCAAGACCUCGCGCAAUUGGAGCGGCCGAUGCCCGAUUAGCUAGUUGGUGAGGUAAAGGCUCACCAAGGCGACGAUCGGUAGCUGGUCUGAGAGGACGACCAGCCACACUGGGACUGAGACACGGCCCAG
Molecule: ribosomal RNA, 308 nt
Filed under: uncultured bacterium
Lineage: Bacteria
Description: bacterial SSU rRNA
Rfam family: Bacterial small subunit ribosomal RNA
Source: RNAcentral